UUCUUUCAUAUGCCUUAUUGCUACAAUACUCUUUAGGGGAAUAUUUUUGUUAAAGACUUUCUUGUUGGACAUCGAAAUAAACUAUUGAAAUUGGAGCUUCAUCCAAAACUAGAAAAUCCUCAUAUUGCAUUCUUGUUCUUUUCUCACAUUUAUUUUUUACCCCAAACUCUUCUAUUCUUAAUUCAGUUUUUUCAAUAGAUGUUGUGCAUUCUUCUUCUUUUUUUCUUUUUCAAAUCCUCCUUCAUCGACUACUUCCCAUUCAUGUUCU
This 268-nucleotide long non-coding RNA is filed under the name Lathyrus oleraceus (garden pea). RNAcentral describes it as "Pisum sativum (pea) long non-coding RNA (PSAT_LNC003658)". The record is from RNAcentral. Lineage: Eukaryota; Viridiplantae; Streptophyta; Magnoliopsida; Fabales; Fabaceae.